UGCAAGUCGUGCGAGAAAGUACCUUCGGGUGCGAGUAGAGCGGCGGACGGGUGAGUAACGCGUAGGAAUCUACCUAGUAGAAGGGGAUAGCCCGGGGAAACUCGGAUUAAUACCGUAUACCUCCUCAGGGAGAAAGAGGGCUUAGCUUUGAUGCUCUCGCUAUUAGAUGAGCCUGCGUAAGAUUAGCUUGUUGGUGAGGUAAUGGCUCACCAAGGCGACGAUCUUUAGCUGGUCUGAGAGGACGAUCAGCCACAUUGGGACUGAGACACGGCCCAGACUCCUACGGGAGGCAGCAGUGGGGAAUAUUGGACAAUGGGCGCAAGCCUGAUCCAGCCAUACCGCGUGUGUGAAGAAGGCUUUCGGGUUGUAAAGCACUUUAAGUAAGGAGAAAAAGAUUGUAGUUAAUACCUGCAAUCCGUGAUGUUACUUACAGAAUAAGGACCGGCUAAUUCCGUGCCAGCAGCCGCGGUAAUACGGAAGGUCCAAGCGUUAAUCGGAAUUACUGGGCGUAAAGCGCGCGUAGGUGGUUUUUUAAGUUGGAUGUGAAAGCCCUGGGCUCAACCUAGGAACUGCAUCCAAAACUAGAUGACUAGAGUACGAAAGAGGGAGGUAGAAUUCACAGUGUAGCGGUGGAAUGCGUAGAUAUUGUGAAGAAUACCAAUGGCGAAGGCAGCCUCCUGGUUCUGUACUGACACUAAGGUGCGAAAGCGUGGGUAGCGAACAGGAUUAGAUACCCUGGUAGUCCACGCCGUAAACGAUGACAACUAGCUGUUGGGAGACAAGAUCUCUCAGCGGCGCAGCUAACGCUUUAAGUUGUCCGCCUGGGGAGUACGGCCGCAAGGUUAAAACUCAAAUGAAUUGACGGGGACCCGCACAAGCGGUGGAGCAUGUGGUUUAAUUCGAUGCAACGCGAAAAACCUUACCUACUCUUGACAUACUUGGGAAG
This 946-nucleotide ribosomal RNA is filed under the name uncultured marine bacterium. RNAcentral's name for it is "bacterial SSU rRNA". It matches the Rfam family "Bacterial small subunit ribosomal RNA", at positions 56 to 997 of the family's 1533-position model. The record is from RNAcentral.